This 68-nucleotide transfer RNA is filed under the name Pseudagrion pacificum. RNAcentral describes it as "tRNA-Asx". RNAcentral also lists the same sequence under 1 other name. The record is from RNAcentral. Lineage: Eukaryota; Metazoa; Arthropoda; Insecta; Odonata; Coenagrionidae.
AGGAUUAGUUAAAAAAUAACAUUAGAAUGUCAAACUGAAAUUACUAAAAUAAUAGUAUCCUUUAAUCC